Molecule: non-coding RNA, 107 nt
Organism: Gossypium raimondii (Peruvian cotton)
Lineage: Eukaryota; Viridiplantae; Streptophyta; Magnoliopsida; Malvales; Malvaceae
Source: Rfam
AUCUCAUGAUGAGGAAACUUAAGAAGUAACUCAUUGAAUCGCUCCCAGGCCUCAUACAAAGACUCGUCAUCCAAUUGUUGAAAAGUUGUGAUCUCGUUCUUGAACUU